UCUAGCUUGCUAGAAGAUGACGAGUGGCGGACGGGUGAGUAAUGCUUGGGAACUUGCCUUUGCGAGGGGGAUAACAGUUGGAAACGACUGCUAAUACCGCAUAAUGUCUUCGGACCAAACGGGGCUUCGGCUCCGGCGCAAAGAGAGGCCCAAGUGAGAUUAGCUAGUUGGUAAGGUAACGGCUUACCAAGGCGACGAUCUCUAGCUGUUCUGAGAGGAAGAUCAGCCACACUGGGACUGAGACACGGCCCAGACUCCUACGGGAGGCAGCAGUGGGGAAUAUUGCACAAUGGGGGAAACCCUGAUGCAGCCAUGCCGCGUGUGUGAAGAAGGCCUUCGGGUUGUAAAGCACUUUCAGUUGUGAGGAAAAGUUAGUAGUUAAUACCUGCUAACCGUGACGUUAACAACAGAAGAAGCACCGGCUAACUCCGUGCCAGCAGCCGCGGUAAUACGGAGGGUGCGAGCGUUAAUCGGAAUUACUGGGCGUAAAGCGCACGCAGGCGGUUUGUUAAGCUAGAUGUGAAAGCCCCGGGCUCAACCUGGGAUGGUCAUUUAGAACUGGCAGACUAGAGUCUUGGAGAGGGGAGUGGAAUUCCAGGUGUAGCGGUGAAAUGCGUAGAUAUCUGGAGGAACAUCAGUGGCGAAGGCGACUCCCUGGCCAAAGACUGACGCUCAUGUGCGAAAGUGUGGGUAGCGAACAGGAUUAGAUACCCUGGUAGUCCACACCGUAAACGCUGUCUACUAGCUGUGUGUGUCUUUAAGGCGUGCGUAGCGAAGCUAACGCGCUAAGUAGACCGCCUGGGGAGUACGGCCGCAAGGUUAAAACUCAAAUGAAUUGACGGGGGCCCGCACAAGCGGUGGAGCAUGUGGUUUAAUUCGAUGCAACGCGAAGAACCUUACCUACACUUG
This 909-nucleotide ribosomal RNA is filed under the name Alteromonas sp. 28(2010). RNAcentral describes it as "bacterial SSU rRNA". It matches the Rfam family "Bacterial small subunit ribosomal RNA", at positions 74 to 983 of the family's 1533-position model. The record is from RNAcentral. Lineage: Bacteria; Pseudomonadati; Pseudomonadota; Gammaproteobacteria; Alteromonadales; Alteromonadaceae.